AAAUCAAUAAUGCUAAUGUUUUGAAAACAUUAUUUAGGUUAAUAGAUCUUUGAUUUU
RNAcentral lists this transfer RNA (57 nucleotides) under Bemisia tabaci complex sp. Asia I. RNAcentral describes it as "tRNA-Ser". The record is from RNAcentral. Lineage: Eukaryota; Metazoa; Arthropoda; Insecta; Hemiptera; Aleyrodidae.